UUUCCGUAGGUGAACCUGCGGAAGGAUCAUUACAGAGUUCAUGCCCUCACGGGUAGAUCUCCCACCCUUGAAUAUUUAUACCUUAGUUGCUUUGGCAGGCCGUGGAAACACCAUGGGCUCCGGAUUAUGCGUGCCUGCCAGAAGAAACAAACUCUGUUUUUAGUGAUGUCUGAGUACUAUAUAAUAGUUAAAACUUUCAACAACGGAUCUCUUGGUCCUG
RNAcentral lists this unclassified non-coding RNA (220 nucleotides) under plant metagenome. RNAcentral describes it as "partial contains small subunit ribosomal RNA, internal transcribed spacer 1, and 5.8S ribosomal RNA". The record is from RNAcentral.